This 416-nucleotide ribosomal RNA is filed under the name Lactococcus lactis. RNAcentral's name for it is "bacterial SSU rRNA". It matches the Rfam family "Bacterial small subunit ribosomal RNA", at positions 28 to 434 of the family's 1533-position model. Lineage: Bacteria; Bacillati; Bacillota; Bacilli; Lactobacillales; Streptococcaceae. The record is from RNAcentral.
GACGAACGCUGGCGGCGUGCCUAAUACAUGCAAGUUGAGCGCUGAAGGUUGGUACUUGUACCAACUGGAUGAGCAGCGAACGGGUGAGUAACGCGUGGGGAAUCUGCCUUUGAGCGGGGGACAACAUUUGGAAACGAAUGCUAAUACCGCAUAAAAACUUUAAACACAAGUUUUAAGUUUGAAAGAUGCAAUUGCAUCACUCAAAGAUGAUCCCGCGUUGUAUUAGCUAGUUGGUGAGGUAAAGGCUCACCAAGGCGAUGAUACAUAGCCGACCUGAGAGGGUGAUCGGCCACAUUGGGACUGAGACACGGCCCAAACUCCUACGGGAGGCAGCAGUAGGGAAUCUUCGGCAAUGGACGAAAGUCUGACCGAGCAACGCCGCGUGAGUGAAGAAGGUUUUCGGAUCGUAAAACUCU